RNAcentral lists this ribosomal RNA (731 nucleotides) under uncultured organism. RNAcentral's name for it is "bacterial SSU rRNA". It matches the Rfam family "Bacterial small subunit ribosomal RNA", at positions 588 to 1305 of the family's 1533-position model. The record is from RNAcentral.
UCGCGUGUGAAAUCCCCAGGCUCAGCCUGGGAAGUGCAUUCGAAACUGACAAGCUUGACUGCUGGAGAGGGUCGUGGAAUUCCCGGUGUACAGGUGAAAUUCGCAGAUAUCGGGAGGGACACCAGCGGCGAAGGCGGCGACCUGGACAGACACUGACGAUGAGGCGCGAAUGCGUGGGGAGCAAACAGGAUUAGAUACCCUGGUAGUACACGCCGUAAACGAUGGGUACUAGUUGUUGUGGGUAUUGACCCCUGAGGCAACGAAGCAAAACGCGUUAAGUACCCCGCUUGGGGAGUACGCCACGCAAGCUUAAUACUCAAAGGAAUUGACGGGGGCCCGCACAAGCGCUGGAGCAUGUGGUAUAAUUCGACGCAACGCGUAGAACCUUACACCAGCCUUGACAUCUGGGGACACCGCACUGAAAGGUGGGGUGCCUUCGGGAGCCCCAAGACAGGUGCUGCAUGGCUGUCGUCAGCUCGUGUCUGUGAGAUGUUGGGCUUAAGUCCCGCAACGAGCGCAACCCUUGUCUCUAGUUGUUACCGGGUCAUGCCGGGCACUCUAGGGAGACAUGUCCUGGUGUUAAACCGGAGGAAGGUGGGGAUGACAGUCAUAGUCAUCAUGGCCCUUAUGGCUGGGCGCUACACACGUGCUACAAUGUCCUGGUACAAUGGGCUGCGAGCCUGCGAAGGUGAGCCAAUCCCAAAAAACCGGUCUCAGUUCGGAUUGGAGUC